Molecule: RNA transcript, 1774 nt
Organism: Nicotiana attenuata
Lineage: Eukaryota; Viridiplantae; Streptophyta; Magnoliopsida; Solanales; Solanaceae
Gene name: F-box/kelch-repeat protein SKIP25-like
Exons: 3
Source: RefSeq, a predicted model, not a curated record
AAAGCAUUAGUAUUCUCAACAUCAUGACUAGUUUGGAAGAAAAUUCCACAUGCAAUAAGAUCCCUUGCGGGUUCUUAUUUAAUUUAUCCCACUAAGACCGUCCCAAUUUAAUACUACUACUAGUGGAAACCUUUUCUUCAAUUAGAAAAACAAAAAGAAAGGAUAAGAUGGGUAAUGUCUAUGUUCCUCCUAACUUGUAUCCAACUUUUGCCUUUUAAUUCUGAUCCUUUGAAUGACAACAUAACUUUUUAGGCAAUUAAAGUAAUGGCGUAAAGUCCAAAGUCUUACAAACUCUAAAUCUUCAACUUCCUGUCCCACUCUUACACGUCCCCUACCCUUUUCUCCCUCAAAUGAACAACUCCGCCACCGCCGGAGCUGCCAUUAAACGCCGAAAGAAUCAUUAUCAUCAGUCCUUGAUUCCUGGACUUCCUGAUGAUAUAGCUCAAAUUUGCCUCUCUCUUGUACAACAACCUUUGACUCUUUACUCCGUUUGUCAAUCUUGGCGCCGGCUCCUUUAUUCUCCUUCUUUUCCCCCCUUUUUAUCUAUCUACUCGUUAUUGAAACCUUCACAAUCUAAGGAGAAAACAAAUCAAUAUGAGCAUUCUGUCGAAUUCGCCAACUUCGAUCCGAUUUCAUCCAAAUGGCACUUACUUCCUCCUCCACCGCUUGAACCGCCUCUUCGUCUCCUCCUUCGUCACCCUUCUUUCAUCUCCCGUCACCUUCCGAUCCAAUGGGUGAGCGUUUCUGGCAAAUUCGUUCUCCUUGCUGCAACCACUGACCAUCUACUGCCGGCCUUAUCUCGGCCCCUUGUUUUCAAUCCACUCAGCCGAAAAUGGACUUACGGUCCCCCACUCGCCACACCGCGACGGUGGUGUGCUGCUGGUGCGUCACGCGGCGUCGUUUACGUUGCUAGUGGGAUUGGUUCCCACUACAACCAAGAGGUAGCGCGAUCGGUUGAGAAGUGGGACCUGAAAGGUAACAACAGCUAUUGUUACUGCGCCCACUACAGCUGUAACCACCAUCACGAUAAAGACAAGGGUACUAAAAGUGGAUGGAAAUGGGAGAAAAUGGGCGGUCUUAAGGAUGGGAAGUUUAGUAGGGAAGCGAUUGAAGCAGUGUGUUGGAGAGGAAAGCUGUGUAUGGUGAACGUGAAAGGCAAUGCUGCAAAGGAAGGAAUCAUCUACGACGUUGAAAAGGACACGUGGCAGGAGAUGCCGGAGGGGAUGCUAGUGGGUUGGAGAGGUCCGGCGGCGGCGAUGGAGGAGGAAAUUAUUUACAUGGUGGAUGAAUCUAAAGGAGCAUUAAGAAAGUAUUAUCCAGGAAAUGACAGUUGGGUGGAGGUUUUGGAGAAUGAGAUGCUUAAAGGUUCACAACAUAUGGCGGCUGCCGGCGGUAGAGUGUGCGUGGUUCGCUGCGGCGGUGAUGGUAUCGCGGUUGUGGAUGUGGUGGCCAAGCCGCCGAGUUUGGCGGUGGUGGAAACUCCAUUGGGGUUUCAGGUUUUGGACCUACAUAUUUUGCCAAGAAUGAGCCAACUGGAUUCUGAAUCACAAUGAGAUCACGAAUAUUGAAUAGUUAUUGUUUUCUUGUAUUUCCAAAUUAUUCAUUCUUUUCAGUUAGGGUUUCUGGCUUCAAUUGUGGAUACUGAAUCUUCAGGAUUAGGUACUGUCAAUUUCUGCACCGGAAAGAUUAGGUAUUGUUUUUCACCUUCUCGCCCUCCUCGUUCCAGAUUGAAGAAAUUUAUAAAGCUAGAGAAACGGGAAUUCUUCUAAUUCAG